Molecule: ribosomal RNA, 491 nt
Filed under: uncultured bacterium
Lineage: Bacteria
Description: partial 16S ribosomal RNA
Rfam family: Bacterial small subunit ribosomal RNA
Source: RNAcentral
AGUGAACGCUGGCGGUAGGCCUAACACAUGCAAGUCGAACGGCAGCACAGUACGAGCUUGCUCUUACGGGUGGCGAGUGGCGGACGGGUGAGGAAUACAUCGGAAUCUACUUUUUCGUGGGGGAUAACGUAGGGAAACUUACGCUAAUACCGCAUACGACCUACGGGUGAAAGCAGGGAUCUUCGUACCUUGCGCGGUUGAAUGACGCGAUGUCGGAUUGGGUUGGUGGCGGGGUAACGGCCCAACCAGUCGACGAGCCGCAGGUGGUCGGAGGGGAUGAUCAGCCACACUGGAACUGGGCCACGGUCCAGAGUCCUACGGGAGGGAGCAGUGUGGAAUAUUGGACAACAGUCGCAAACCUGGUCCAGCCAUACCGAGUGUGUGGAGAAGGCCUUGGGGGUGUAAAGCCCGUUUGUUGGGAAAGAAAAGCAGCAGGUUAAUACCCCGCUGGUCUGACGGUACCCAAAGAAUAAGCACCGGCUAACUUCGUG